GGGGGUAUAACUCAGUAGUAGAGUACUUACCUACAAUGUAUGAGAACCUGGGUUCCAUCUCCAGCACCACAA
This is a non-coding RNA of Ictidomys tridecemlineatus (thirteen-lined ground squirrel), 72 nucleotides long. The record is from Rfam. NCBI's taxonomy places the organism in Eukaryota, Metazoa, Chordata, Mammalia, Rodentia, Sciuridae.